AGUGGGAAACCUACACAGAGGCUGGAACUCACUAUGGACUGAAUUGUGCAGGCCAGGAAAGAGAGAUGGAAGAUUUCAGUCCUCUUUACUAAAGCUACCCAAAGAGAUAAAAGCACGUUGGCAAAAUGUGAGAUGCUGUGAUUGUAAUUGAUGACACAAAGGAAGGAGAGACAAGAAGCAGCAUUUAGGUGCAUAAUUUGUGGUGCUCAAGUCCCAAAAGUGAGCUGCAGCUGGCUUGGUACCACUGCCAAACACUGAGUUAAACACCAAAAUGCAGUUGUCUCACUGAGAUGCCUUGGUGUGUUACAUCCUGCACAUGCUUGUCUUUCUCCACUGCACAAUGGAGAAGUGAGAAGCACGCACUGGUUUCAAGACUGGUGUUUUGUUGACUACAUAGCCUUACAGAAAGCUCCAAAAAAUUUGCAGACAAAUUUACUUUCCCUGUGUGUAAUAGGUCACUAUGGUAACUUGUUUCUGACUUACUGCAGUAGUCCUCUGUUGGAGGAAAGUCAACAAGCUCACAUUUGUUUCUAGUGAUCAAUGUAAAAAACCUUGUUGAGACUGAGUCUGUCUGAUGCAUUAGCAACUUUUUACCAAUCCAAAACCUAUGGAUUUGUGCAUCUCCAGCUCUUCAGGAGUCCCCACACAAGCAGUCCUGCACCACAUAGUGCUGUCAUCAUGUGGGUGUGGAGAUGCUGAAGCAGGUUUCAUCUAUUCACCAGCAACAGCAGUGGCAGUGGUCACUGGAGCUGCUGGGUGCUGACAUGGUCAUGACUACUACAGCCCCUUGUUCCCUGGUAAGUCGUGGGGAUUUGUGAGGCAAUGGGCACAGACACAGCAUGUGCACUUCAGGUCACCACAGAAAAAACUUGGUUAUCUAAAAGAGAUUUAGCAAUGUACAGUGUGUAAGUAAAUCACAGAUGUGCAUACAAAGGCUACUAGCUCAGACAUGACCUGCAAGGACUCCACAGCACUCCAGCACAUCUUUUAUUUCCUUUAUUGUUUAGUUCACUAAGUUGUACUGUGAUUCACUUCAAGAACAAUGGAAAUAGGGCUACCUGCAUGAGCUCUCUCUUAUUUUUAUGUUUCCUGGAAAUGUCUAGAAAGCAAUGAAAUUGAUGCUUUAAUAUGCAUGGAAAUUUAUGAAAACAACAGGAUUUCAUUUCCUAACAUAAUUGCUGAAUUGAUUUGCGUAUGCAGUGAACUGCUCUGAUUUUCUUAGUGGCAAUAAUAAAGCAGUGUCUGCAGUAAUUUAGCA
RNAcentral lists this long non-coding RNA (1258 nucleotides) under Cyanistes caeruleus (blue tit). Its description in RNAcentral is "lncRNA (ENSCCEG00000006837.1)". Lineage: Eukaryota; Metazoa; Chordata; Aves; Passeriformes; Paridae. The record is from RNAcentral.